RNAcentral lists this ribosomal RNA (248 nucleotides) under uncultured Lachnospiraceae bacterium. RNAcentral describes it as "partial 16S ribosomal RNA". It matches the Rfam family "Bacterial small subunit ribosomal RNA", at positions 524 to 771 of the family's 1533-position model. The record is from RNAcentral. Lineage: Bacteria; Bacillati; Bacillota; Clostridia; Lachnospirales; Lachnospiraceae.
UACGUAUGGGGCAAGCGUUAUCCGGAUUUACUGGGUGUAAAGGGAGCGUAGGCGGCUUAGCAAGCCUGAUGUGAAAUACCGGGGCCCAACCCCGGGGCUGCAUUGGGAACUGUUAGGCUGGAGUGCCGGAGAGGCAGGCGGAAUUCCUAGUGUAGCGGUGAAAUGCGUAGAUAUUAGGAGGAACACCAGUGGCGAAGGCGGCCUGCUGGACGGUGACUGACGCUGAGGCUCGAAAGCGUGGGGAGCAA